RNAcentral lists this long non-coding RNA (444 nucleotides) under Homo sapiens (human). RNAcentral's name for it is "non-protein coding lnc-SLC2A9-1:1". The record is from RNAcentral. Lineage: Eukaryota; Metazoa; Chordata; Mammalia; Primates; Hominidae.
CUCUUUCAGAUGAGAGGCACUUGAGCCCUGCUCAGCUAUGAGAAUAAGAGAGGGGAAUUAAUUCUAAUUGAAUACACUUGUUCUCUCAUAGCUGUUGUUCCCCACCAGAACCAAAUGAGCGCAAGAUCUGACAAAGAAAAAAAAGGUUCAUCUUUUAUUCUCCCAAACACUUUCAUUUAAAUCAAGAGGGUGGGAUGUGGUUAUUGCUGUGCUUUUAGACAGAAUCAACGGUUUCUGGGUCUGAGAUAUUGCAUAUACCCUCUCAGUCCCUGUAUCCUGAGAUGGAGUCACCUGAGAAUCCACAGCAAGUCCUAACCAGGGAUGGGUCUGCGUGGUUAAGGAAGGUUGGCUUCAGAACUGGGCCAGGGGCACUGCUUUGCUUUUGCUGUUUUGAUCAGCUCUCUGCCUGUAGGAGACAAGGAAAACCAAUGGGAACAGUUGGGG